RNAcentral lists this ribosomal RNA (209 nucleotides) under uncultured prokaryote. RNAcentral's name for it is "partial 16S ribosomal RNA". It matches the Rfam family "Bacterial small subunit ribosomal RNA", at positions 524 to 732 of the family's 1533-position model. The record is from RNAcentral.
UACGGGGGGGGCAAGCGUUGUUCGGAAUUACUGGGCGUAAAGGGCUCGUAGGUGGCCAACUAAGUCGGACGUGAAAUCCCUCGGCUUAACCGGGGAACUGCGUCCGAUACUGGUUGGCUUGAGUUUGGGAGAGGGAUGCGGAAUUGACAGUGUAGCGGUGAAAUGCAUAGAUAUUGUCAAGAACACCAAUUGCGAAGGCAGCUUACUAA